GGUAAUACGUAGGGUGCGAGCGUUAAUCGGAAUUACUGGGCGUAAAGCGUGCGCAGGCGGUUAUAUAAGACAGAUGUGAAAUCCCCGGGCUCAACCUGGGAGCUGCAUUAGUGACUGUAUAGCUGGAGUGCGGCAGAGGGGGAUGGAAUUCCGCGUGUAGCAGUGAAAUGCGUAGAUAUGCGGAGGAACACCGAUGGCGAAGGCAAUCCCCUGGGCCUGCACUGACGCUCAUGCACGAAAGCGCGGGGAGCAAACAGGACUAGAUACCCUGGUAGUCCACGCCCUAAACGAUGUCAACUGGUUGUUGGGAAUUCACUUUCUCAGUAACGAAGCUAACGCGUGAAGUUGACCGCCUGGGGAGUACGGCCGCAAGGUUAAAACUCAAAGGAAUUGACGGGGACCCGCACAAGCGGUGGAUUAUGUGGAUUAAUUCGACGCAACGCGAAAAACCUUACCUACCCUUGACAUGUAGCGAAUUUUCUAGAGAUAGAUUAGUGCCUUCGGGAACGCUAACACAGGUGCUGCAUGGCUGUCGUCAGCUCGUGUCGUGAGAUGUUGGGUUAAGUCCCGCAACGAGCGCAACCCUUGUCAUUAAUUGCCAUCAUUUAGUUGGGCACUUUAAUGAGACUGCCGGUGACAAACCGGAGGAAGGUGGGGAUGACGUCAAGUCCUCAUGGCCCUUAUGGGUAGGGCUUCACACGUAAUACAAUGGCGCGUACAGAGGGUUGCCAACCCGCGAGGGGGAGCUAAUCUCAGAAAGCGCGUCGUAGUCCGGAUCGGAGUCUGCAACUCGACUCCGUGAAGUCGGAAUCGCUAGUAAUCGCGGAUCAGCAUGUCGCGGUGAAUACGUUCCCGGGUCUUGUACACACCGCCCGUCACACCAUGGGAGUGGGUUUCACCAGAAGCAGGUAGUCUAACCGUAAGGAGGGCGCUUGCCACGGUGAGAUUCAUGACUGGGGUG
This 961-nucleotide ribosomal RNA is filed under the name uncultured bacterium. RNAcentral's name for it is "bacterial SSU rRNA". It matches the Rfam family "Bacterial small subunit ribosomal RNA", at positions 519 to 1482 of the family's 1533-position model. The record is from RNAcentral.